Molecule: ribosomal RNA, 500 nt
Filed under: uncultured bacterium
Lineage: Bacteria
Description: partial 16S ribosomal RNA
Rfam family: Bacterial small subunit ribosomal RNA
Source: RNAcentral
AUUGAACGCUGGCGGCAUGCUUUACACAUGCAAGUCGAACGGUAACAGGGUGCUUGCACCGCUGACGAGUGGCGAACGGGUGAGUAAUGCGUCGGAACGUGCCGAGUAGUGGGGGAUAACGCAGCGAAAGUUGUGCUAAUACCGCAUACGUACUGAGGUAGAAAGUGGGGGACCUUCGGGCCUCACGCCAUUCGAGCGGCCGACGUCUGAUUAGCUAGUAGGUGAGGUAAAGGCUCACCUAGGAGACGAUCAGUAGCGGGUCUGAGAGGAUGAUCCGCCACACUGGGACUGAGACACGGCCCAGACUCCUACGGGAGGCAGCAGUGGGGAAUUUUGGACAAUGGGCGAAAGCCUGAUCCAGCCAUGCCGCGUGUCUGAAGAAGGCCUUCGGGUUGUAAAGGACUUUUGCCAGGGAGGAAAUCCCUAGUGCUAAUAACACUGGGGGAUGACAGUACCUGAAGAAUAAGCACCGGCUAACUACGUGCCAGCAGCCGCAGUAA